RNAcentral lists this non-coding RNA (880 nucleotides) under Acantholabrus palloni (scale-rayed wrasse). RNAcentral describes it as "partial 12S ribosomal RNA". It matches the Rfam family "Bacterial small subunit ribosomal RNA". Lineage: Eukaryota; Metazoa; Chordata; Actinopteri; Labriformes; Labridae. The record is from RNAcentral.
AUUAUCAAUUUUAGCCAGACUUACACAUGCAAGCAUCCGCACCCCUGUGAGAAUGCCCUGUAGUUCCCUGCUCGGGAACAAGGAGCUGGUAUCAGGCACAAAAACUUAGCCCAUGACGCCUUGCUUAGCCACACCCUCAAGGGAAUUCAGCAGUGAUAAACAUUAAGCCAUAAGUGAAAACUUGACUUAGUCAAGGCUAAGAGGGCCGGUAAAUCUCGUGCCAGCCACCGCGGUUAUACGAAAGACCCAAGUUGAUAAACACCGGCGUAAAGAGUGGUUAGGGUAAACUAUCAAACUAAAGCCGAACAUCUUCAAAGCUGUUAUACGCACACGAAGGACAGAAGCACAACCACGAAAGUGGCUUUACCCCACCUGACCCCACGAGAGCUAUGGCACAAACUGGGAUUAGAUACCCCACUAUGCCUAGCCGUAAACAUCGAUAAUACACUACAUUUAUUAUCCGCCUGGGGACUACGAGCAUCAGCUUAAAACCCAAAGGACUUGGCGGUGCUUUAGAUCCACCUAGAGGAGCCUGUUCUAGAACCGAUAAUCCCCGUUAAACCUCACCUUUCCUUGUUUUUCCCGCCUAUAUACCGCCGUCGUCAGCUUACCCUGCGAAGGAUCAAUAGUAAGCAAAAUUGGUACAACCCAAAACGCCAGGUCGAGGUGUAGCGUAUGGAAAGGGAAGAAAUGGGCUACAUUCAAUAUUACAAUGAAUACGAACGGUGGCCUGAAAUACCCACCUGAAGGAGGAUUUAGCAGUAAGCAGGAAAUAGAGAGUCCCGCUGAAAUUGGCCCUGAAGCGCGUACACACCGCCCGUCACUCUCCCCAAGUCUAUGUAUCUUCAUACUUAAUACCCUAAAACUGCAAAGGGGAGGC